GUGCUGUACAUUCACUCUGGCGACAUCAGUCGCUGCAGUAUUACUUCUCCCCAUCUCUAUCAUCAGUAAUGAAAUCCUCCUCAUGUAUCCAAGGAGCUACUACGUCCAGUGGCUUAACUCAUCGCUCAUUCAUGGGUUGUGGAACUUUGUGUUCAUCUUUUCUAACUGUGCCAUAUUUGUCCUCAUGCCUUUUGCUUACUUCUUACUGGAGUCUGAGGGGUUUGCUGGGUCUAAAAAAGGUUUAAUGGCCAGAGUCUAUGAGACUGCAGUGGUACUGUGUUUGCUGGGAGUUAUGGCCUUUGGCUUGGUGUUUGUUAUCACAGCAGUUGUGGAUGAGGAUAAAUCAAGCAGACAGACACUAUGGGACCUGUGGGACUACUACCUUCCUUUCCUGUAUUCUUGUAUUUCACUGCUGGGUUGCUUGGCUUUGCUAAUUUGCACUCCAGUGGGGUUUGCCCGCCUGUUUACAGUGAUGGGCCAGCUUGUUGUUAAACCACAGUUCCUGAGAGAUAUAGCAGAGGAGCUGUACACCACACAACUUGAAGAGGAUGAUCUCAAGAGAAAGAUCAAGCAGCGUGUAACUACCACCAGCAAUGGCAGAACCAUUGCCAAUGGACACAAUGGAAGCUGCAAUGGCACAUCAGAGUUGAGAAAAAGAUUAGAAGAUGUUCAGGAGGAGAAGCAACAGUUGGAAAAGAGACAACAGAUAUCAUCCUUGAGGAGAAAUGUGGGCUAUCCAUUGAUGAUGCUUCUGUUGUUAGCCUUAACUGCCUUAUCAGUAUUAUGGGUGGCUCUGAACACAUUGCUGUUGGUGUUUGGGGAUAAAAAGUUACCUGUGGGAGGCAAGGAUAUAGUCCUUGGUUUGUCUUCACUGUCUGCCCUGGGACAAGUUGGUGCUCUGCUGGAGAUAGCUCUCAUUUUAUAUUUCAUGUUAGCCUCAGUGGUUGGAUUCUACAGCCUACGAUUCUUCCGCCGCCUGCAACCCAAGCCUUCUGACACCACACUUACCCAGAUCAUCGGCAACUGUGUAGUCAUACUGGUGCUCAGCUCAGCUCUUCCUGUGCUAUCCCGGAUACUGGGUAUAACAAACUUUGAUCUUCUCGGAGAGUUUGGGCGUCUGGAGUGGCUGGGAAGUUUUUACCUAAUCCUCACCUACAACCUGGUGUUUGUCUCCUGCACAGCUCUCUGUCUCUUCACCAAGUUCACUGCCACCAUACGCAAGGAAAUUGUCAACCGUCUGUGGACAGCACUGCGCCGUGUUAAGACAAGAUCCUGGUCUACCAGUCAGACAAGUGUGUCUACUCCUACAGUGGGAAAGGAAGAGUAAAAGCUUAGACAUGGUGGGAACAGUACAUAAUUGGUAUGGGGACAAAGAAAAGAUGGUAUGGGGAAAAGAAAAGACAUGUUGGUUAUCAUAAAGGCGUAUGUUAACCUGGAAGGUUGAAAGGCUUUGGUGAAGCAUGGGCCUUUGACUUAAAGAAACCUCAUGUAUUGCUUUUAAGGCUGAGCUAUAUUAGCUUGCAUUAGAGUGUUCAAAUGAGACAGUAUUUUGCUUGGUUAUGUCAGUGCAAACUCUAAAUGCCAAUGAGCAACCUGAAUUGCAGCACCAGCUUUUAUACAUGUCAGGAGGGCCAAGGUACAUCGUCACCUGGUAUUAGCUAUCAGUGGACCAAGCUACUUUGUCCAAGGUAACCGUCCGGGACCAGCAAGGACAUAAAAUACAGCCAACACAAUCAGCAUUAGAAUUGACUCACAUGCUGCUGUUGUGAAGCACACUGAGAGAGGCAGAAUCAAGAGUUCGUGUUCGGUCUCUCUUGUAUCAGCUACCUUUGGAAGUCCACAGUUUUUAUGUAGAGUGGACACUAGUCCUUAAUCACACACCUGGCCAGUUGCAUGAAAAAGUUGUCUUUGUGAUGGAAAAGAUGUGAUCAAAUGAAAAUUGACUGAACAAGUUAAAAAUUCUGGUCCAAGUUGUGUAAUAGUCAAUAGCAACAGCUAAUGUUGUGUAACAUACACGUUUUUAUUUGAUUUAUGUGAAUACCAGAGGUUUCACUUGUACAUAGUGUUUUUAUACCAAAUGAACAAAUUGAUACAAACCCUUUUAAUGGUGAUUUUAUUGUAAUAACUGAUGCUUUUCAUUCAAGUUUUCUAUCUCUGUACAGUUAGGUGGUAUAUGAACAAAGCUGAGUGGCAGGAAGAAUGUUAGAAUGGUGAAUGGUUAACUAGGGCCCAAAAGAAAUAUUUUACAGAAGGCUAGCACUUGAAAAAUAUGAUUGUUGAAUGCAUUUUAUUGCUUAUGUGUCAUUUAAAUACAAGAAAGCAAGGCAGUGUUUUUUAAUGAUAUAGAAAACCUGGAUUUUUUGUCAACUAAUCUUGUUGUUAUUAAAAUUAAGCUUAAAAUAAAGCAUUUGGUUUUUGAGGCAAAAUUUAAGCCAUUGCCAUGUAAAACAAUCCAGCAAGUGGAAGAUGUAUGGAGAGGAAGCAGUCGGUAUAGUUUAUUGUAGUAGUAGAGGCACUAAUAUAUGACGGAAUUCAAAUGUUGAUGUGAUCGUGACUUGUAUUUCUCUUGUAAAAUAUCCUCAGGUUUUAUUGUUGAAUAUUUAAGGGACAGAUCCUAGCAAUGCAGAUCAAUGCAAAUAUAGUAUAUAUGCUUAUAGACAAGGAUGGAAAGUAUUCAUUAUAGCAGCAUUAGCUUUUAAUUGGCUGUAGGAACAUUUAUUGAGUUGGUAUAUAUCUUGCCAUAUAUCCUUGCUGUAAGAUUGGAUGCAGUGAUCAAUACGUGUACCCAUGCUGUAAGAUCAGCAAAAAUGCUUUAAAUGUUAAUAUCCUUGCUGUAGCAUUAAGUGAAGCGCAAUUUAUAUCCUUGCUGUAGGAUUAGGUACAGUGCUAAAUUUAUAUAUCCUUGCAGUAGGAUUAGGUGCAGUGCUUAAUAUUUAUAUCCCUUUGGAAGUAUUAGGAGCAGUACUAAACUUCCUUGCAGUAGGAUAAGGCUUAGCACAGAAUGCAUAUAUCCUUGCCAUAAGUUAAGCAGUGAAUUUAUGUACAGAACAGCAUUCGAGAGAAAUCCUUCCCAUUAAAACACACCUAUUUACAACAGUCAUGUAAAUAAUUAAACACUAUAAAUUUAAUUAUCUUAGCAGUGAUACAAAACACAACCAACAGAAACAGCAUUAAAAUUAACACACUACCAACCACACACCACUGAAAGCUUACAUGAAUUGCUCACUAAGGCUUUGUUUACAUCAGGACUAUUCUCAACUGGAAAGGGUCUUGUUAGAAGAUGUUUAACAACACAGAGCUGCUUGCUAGAAGCCACUGACCACUCAUAUCAGGCAUUACAAUACAUUUGAUUUAAUAACUUCACUGUGUGUUUGAAAUAUCCAUAAAACAAAAUCUAUUAAAGGAGGGUAAGUUUUUUGAAGUUGGCUUUAGGUAAAAGAUUUUGGGGGGGAGCUGGGGAUGGGGUGGUGGUGUGGGGUCUUAAACAGUCCUGUUAAAAAAAAAUUAAGACAAGUUAAGCAGUUCAAGACCAAAGAUAUAUUGCAUAACUUACAAAACAUCGAAAAAUUUACUAACAGACCCACUUUAUUAACCUGCAUGGUAACAUUUUACUACUUUAACCAAAGAAGCUCUCCGUGGACUGAUUUUAAGUUUUAUACAUGGAUUAUCAGUGCAUUUACUUCUUAAUUAAGCAAUUUAAUCGCAGUGCUAGUCCUUGUUCAGUAAUGUUCAACAGCCAAGACAAUCAUAUUGUGCUAGCACCAAAGCUGUUCAGCAGAAUCAAAAAUGUUAUAACUUAUGGGAGGCAGUGUAGGAAGACAACAGUUAUACAAUAUCUCAGUUGAUGAAAAUACUUUGUGUAUUUUGGUACUAAGCAUAAUGAUCAGACUGUCACUAAUGAAGCACAGCAUAGUAUGGUUCUCCUCACCAUUGGCAGUGGGUAGACAUUUGAAGUGCAGAUUUAAAAAUAAAACUGUUUAUACAGAAUCGGUGUCAAUUGAUGUCCAAUUAUUUUCGUUAUAACACAUGCCAGUAUGGUGAGUAUCGUGUGGGGUGUGUUGGAAAGUAUUUAACUAUAUUUAUAGUGUGUGGCAAUCCCAAGUUCUACCCCAGUCUGGUGCAGUUAUGGGUAACCCCCAUUUAAUGUGAAGUGUAUCAUUUUAGAUAUAACAAGAAUUAGAGUGGAUUUCUGGAAAUAAUGAGAUUAAGGACUACUUCAAUGUAAUUGUUGGCACUGUUGCCUUUGUUAUGAAUGCUUCCUAUGCUCAAAUAUUCACGGGGAGCCAUUGUGUAAAAUGUUGUAUAAGAAAAGUGGCUGCAGAGGAUGGGGGUUCUUUUAUUCAGAAUAUUUUGCAUUGAUCAUAAGGACAUAGGGGAUGAUUGUUGCCCCGUUAAAUAAUAUUAGAAUUUUUAAGAAGCAUAUUUGUCCAGCUCAAGGCUUUAGAGUGUAGUAGAAGACACAACUCCUUGAAAGUUGUAGAAUGUUUCUUAUGGAAGUUGUUAUUUAUUUACUUAUUUUUUUUAAUGCAUAACCUUAUUAUUUUAUAGUCAUGAAGUUUCUUUACAAUGAUAAAAGAACAAACUUUUUAAUUUUUUUAUGUAACAUUCUUAUAACCAACUGCGUUGAAUCAGUAGCAUAUUAAUCAUAUUAUAACAUUACUGUACAUUAAAAGAUUGUAUUUAUUAUGUCUACGUGACUUAGCAGUAGCAAUUUCAAUUCUUUAUGAAAUAUUUUAAACAAAGUAUUUUUGUAAAAUUGCAUUGAGACAGAUAUGGUUAGAUUUUGUAUAAAACAGCACAUAGGAAACAGUUUCUACCAAAAGAUUUUUAAUAAUAAUAAGGUAUGGAAACAUCACACAUACAAACACAGUUAAAAAAGCUAAUUUAAAUGUUUGCAGUGCGCCUCUCUUGUAUGUUGCUAACCAUGUCUGUUAGAAGUUUUUAACCCAAUCAUUGUGUUGUUAAUCAUUGUGUAGCUAUCAUAAUACUGAGGCAGUUUAACAUGUCAUUGUACUGUUACUGUUGCUAUCAGCAUGAAGUAUUGCAUCGGUGCCAAGGUGGAUAUAAAUUAUAUAAUAUACAUAUGAUACAUGAAUUAUUUGCUAGUUUGUAUGAAAGUGAAUAAAAUGUUGAAAAUAA
RNAcentral lists this unclassified non-coding RNA (5139 nucleotides) under Lingula anatina. Its description in RNAcentral is "limb region 1 protein homolog, transcript variant X2". Lineage: Eukaryota; Metazoa; Brachiopoda; Lingulata; Lingulida; Lingulidae. The record is from RNAcentral.